GGACUGCGUGGUGGUUGGCUUUUAGACGUAUGCCGUGUUAGUCGAAGAGGAUGGCCUUAGUCCUGGUGUUGUCCAUGGCGCUCCUUCUUCCUUAGUGAGCGCGACCUCAUUUCCACGGGUGAACCCAGUCGGCUCCUUCGUGCGAAGAAGCAUCGCCUUCUGGGUCGCGCGACCUCGGCGAGGCGGAGUGGCAGCAGUGAUUCAGAGCGGUGGAAGGCGUUGUGGCGCGGUGCCAGCUGCACGAGAGGUUGGCGAUAACUUUCUGGCCCGACCUGGGCUGGACGGGCCAUGACCGUACACCCCCCGAUCCAAUAUCCUUCCACCCAUCCCUCCGCUGGUGGAGGACGCCGUGCAUGCGAGCAGGAGCCUAUUGUUGUUAUGGUCUAUAGUCGACGACACCUCCUUACCAAGUUGUAGUCGCUUGGUGAGGAUGAUCGUGUAUGUGUGUGUCGUGUGUGUUCCUCCUUCUGAAGAUUGUAUCCCUGAUGUCUUCUUCCUGUUCAAUGAAAUCGAACGCAAAAUUUCUUGCGUUUUCUUGAAAGAAAACUAAAAAACA
This is a non-coding RNA of Lolium perenne, 556 nucleotides long. The record is from RefSeq and is a predicted model, not a curated record. NCBI's taxonomy places the organism in Eukaryota, Viridiplantae, Streptophyta, Magnoliopsida, Poales, Poaceae.